Molecule: ribosomal RNA, 253 nt
Filed under: uncultured archaeon
Lineage: Archaea
Description: partial 16S ribosomal RNA
Rfam family: Archaeal small subunit ribosomal RNA
Source: RNAcentral
UCCCGGCAGUUCAAGUCGCAGCCACAAUUAUUGGGUCUAAAACAUCCGUAGCUUGUUUUGAAAGUCUCUUGUGAAAUCCUAUACCUUAAGUAUAGGGCGUGCAAGAGAUACUACAAAGCUAGAGACUGGAAGACGCAAAGAGUACAAAUGGGGUAGCAGUAAAAUGCGUUGAUCCUAUUUGGACUAACAACAGCGAAGGCACUUUGCGAGUACAGUUCUGACAGUAAGGGAUGAAGGCUAGGGUCGCGAAAAG